Pyrus x bretschneideri (Chinese white pear) is the source of this 1701-nucleotide long non-coding RNA. RefSeq lists it as uncharacterized. The transcript is spliced from 7 exons. Lineage: Eukaryota; Viridiplantae; Streptophyta; Magnoliopsida; Rosales; Rosaceae. The record is from RefSeq and is a predicted model, not a curated record.
UCCAGUGGCAUCUAUAUUUCUUUUAGCAUGCUGUGGCGUUUCUCGGGAUGCUCAAUAGGUGUAAACUGAGUCCAGAAAUUUGGUAAAAGAAUCUUCAAUUGCAAUGCUAGAUGAUAUUUCCAAGCUUUGUACCGUCAGUUGAAACUUGAAAAGUUCAAGUUUGUUCUGUUAUCUUCUAUACGAUUAUGAAAUUGCCAUAUGAGCUUUCAUUUCACUCCCUCCAGCUCUCUAGACAAACUCAGAAAUUUCUCUUGAAUUGAUUGGUUUUGUUCAACAUUUCGAAUUCAACUAUGCUACUCUUCGACAUGACUUUCUUUGAAAAAAAUCUGGUUCUUGAGAUUACCGGACAACGAGCUGGUAGUGACUUAUUGGUGGUCUUUAUCUCACGGCCACCUAAGUCAAUCAGAAACCGUCGAGUUUUCCCUCUGGUUAUCUGUGGUGAAUAUGAGUUCUGCAUGGGAAAAGGAGUGCGAUGUUGAGAUCAGGUAUGAAAAAGGAAUUCGCUUGAGUUGACACCGACAUAAAUAGCGACGACAAGAAAUAGGUGUUUUGGAAAUUUGAUGUUGAACGGAAGUGGGAGAAAACACGUGAAGAAAGCGAAACUCUGGAACUAGUUGUCCUUGAAUGGUGCUCUUGCCGUAUUGUAUGAAUAUAUUUCUCCUUUAAUUGGAGAGAUAUGUUUGCAUACGGACAAAGCAGUUGAAGAGUGCAUGCAUGCGUUCCUCGUAGCACUGUCGUCAUGCUUGUGCUCGUUGGAAUUCCAGAAAAUUUUGUUACCACAUCAAGUGGUUGGCCAAUAUUUCUUACGUUGGGCACUGCAGACGAGCUGUAAUUGAAUUUUCCAAUCUCCGUUAUGUUAAGUUCCAUUUGCUUGUUUCUAAGAUAAUAAUUUCUUCGUGUUUGAAUUUAGGAGUAUCCUGUUGAACUGAAGCACGAAAGAGGAAAGGAGUUGAGUUGGAUAUUGAGCGAAACGGUGGAAAGCGUGUGAGGUAAAGUUCUGCGUUCUUUACUACAUUUUCAUCAAAACUCUGCAUCCUAAUGUGUGUCGUGUGACUCACAUAGCAAGUCAACAAAACGAAAACUAUUUAUUUGAACAUUGCAGAUUCGCCCACUAUGCAGCCAAUCAUGUGAUUCAUUAACCACUGUAGUUGACGGCGAAACUUGGAGCAAGCCCUCAAAAUUUAGGAACUUUUUUGCCAAGUGCGUUGCGGGCUGCAGACGGUGGGUGGUUUGGUGGCGGCUGCUGUGGAAGUGGAAAGUGAUUCCGCUCAAGCUUUGGCGGAGCAGCAGCAAAACAUUUUGGGGCUUCUCGAUAUGAAACCGAUAGUCUUUUAGAACAACUGACAAUUAAGCCUAUAAAAAUAACACCACAGUUCCUUCAGUUAAAAACACAUGCAUCAAGCCUGGCAGAACCCGAGGUACGAACUCUUCGUACCUCGGGAUUCUGAAGAGAGAAUUGUUGGACGAGGCUACAACUUGUUAUGAUCCAAGUUCGUACCUCGGUUCAGUCAGGAUUCAGAAGCAAAAUUGAAAAGUAGAAGCAAGAAGACAUUCCAUGUCUGCAGAAAGAGUCUUAUUUCAUUCAAAAAAACUUAUUUUCAGAAUCAUAUCAAGUGAUAGAAAUCAUAAAAAUUGAUCCGUUAUAUGCUUGAUAUUAUAACACGUGGAUUAGCUCAAUGACAAGAAUUCGUUCAUAAUUUC